CCUGGUCUCGAGGGGCGCCCCAGCUAAGCCGGGCAGCGUCCUGGCCGGGACUGGGCAGCAGGGAGUACAGAGUCGCGGGACCGCUCCUCGGGCUGGACCCUUCUCCAGACCAAAGACGGCGCCUGGGGCGGGGAGAGACGGACCCCCCUUCAUGGAGACAGACACACGCUGACUCCGAUUGACCCAGGUCCCCAACUUCCCCUCAGCAUUAACUAGAACGCUCUCCCCUUUCCAGUGGAGGGCGUCCCACCCUUCUUCCCGGCCCUUCUUUUAACCCACUUCCCCUGGGAGUUUCCGGGACCCCUCCCCUCAAUCCUCCCAUCCCCGGGAUCUCGGGAGACUGUUCCUCCCUCUCUGCUCAGCUGACCCUCCACUUGCCCCCAUUUCUGAGGGAGGUAAGUUGGGGGAGAGUAAAUUCUCUCUCCACUCCCUCCUCCCGAGGCUGGAUUUAACCUGGAAAGUGCUUUGAGAAGGCACCUCCUCCCCCACUCCCUCUGUAGUCUAGUCUAGUGGGUCACGGAGCCCCUACCACCCACCCACCUCCAAGUUGCUCAGCUUCGACCAUUCAGAGGAAAGAAGUUAUGUUAUUUGUGUGUGUUAAAAAUGCGUGUGGAGGUUUUUA
Molecule: long non-coding RNA, 622 nt
Filed under: Homo sapiens (human)
Lineage: Eukaryota; Metazoa; Chordata; Mammalia; Primates; Hominidae
Description: HSALNT0367992
Source: RNAcentral